UGGUAAUUAGUUUAAAAAAAAAAUUAAUGAUUUCAACUCAUUAAAUUAUGAUAAUGUUCAUAAUUACCAA
Molecule: transfer RNA, 70 nt
Filed under: Mus musculus musculus (eastern European house mouse)
Lineage: Eukaryota; Metazoa; Chordata; Mammalia; Rodentia; Muridae
Description: tRNA-Arg
Source: RNAcentral